Molecule: ribosomal RNA, 253 nt
Filed under: uncultured bacterium
Lineage: Bacteria
Description: partial 16S ribosomal RNA
Rfam family: Bacterial small subunit ribosomal RNA
Source: RNAcentral
GACGAACCGAGCGAACGUUGUUCGGAAUCACUGGGCGUAAAGGGUGCGUAGGCGGGUCUUUAAGUCCGGGGUGAAAUCCUGGAGCUCAACUCCAGAACUGCCUUUGAUACUGAGGAUCUUGAGUUCGGGAGAGGUGAGUGGAACUGCGAGUGUAGAGGUGAAAUUCGUAGAUAUUCGCAAGAACACCAGUGGCGAAGGCGGCUCACUGGCCCGAUACUGACGCUGAGGCACGAAAGCGUGGGGAGCAAACAGG